Molecule: ribosomal RNA, 255 nt
Filed under: uncultured bacterium
Lineage: Bacteria
Description: partial 16S ribosomal RNA
Rfam family: Bacterial small subunit ribosomal RNA
Source: RNAcentral
UACGUAGGUGGCAAGCGUUGUCCGGAAUUAUUGGGCGUAAAGCGCGCGCAGGCGGUUUCUUAAGUCUGAUGUGAAAGCCCACGGCUUAACCGUGGAAGGUCAUUGGAAACUGGGAGACUUGAGUGCAGAAGAGAAGAGCGGAAUUCCACGUGUAGCGGUGAAAUGCGUAGAGAUGUGGAGGAACACCAGUGGCGAAGGCGGCUCUUUGGUCGUGUGAACUGACGCUGAGGCGCGAAAGCGUGGGGAUCAAACAGG